UAACGCGAAGAACCUUACCUAGACUUGACAUCUCCUGCAUUACCCUUAAUCGGGGAAGUUCCUUCGGGGACAGGAAGACAGGUGGUGCAUGGUUGUCGUCAGCUCGUGUCGUGAGAUGUUGGGUUAAGUCCCGCAACGAGCGCAACCCUUAUUGUUAGUUGCUACCAUUUAGUUGAGCACUCUAGCGAGACUGCCCGGGUUAACCGGGAGGAAGGUGGGGAUGACGUCAAAUCAUCAUGCCCCUUAUGUCUAGGGCUACACACGUGCUACAAUGGCAAGUACAAAGAGAAGCAAGACCGUGAGGUGGAGCAAAACUCAAAAACUUGUCUCAGUUCGGAUUGUAGGCUGAAACUCGCCUACAUGAAGCUGGAGUUGCUAGUAAUCGCGAAUCAGCAUGUCGCGGUGAAUACGUUCCCGGGCCUUGUACACACCGA
Molecule: ribosomal RNA, 434 nt
Filed under: uncultured bacterium
Lineage: Bacteria
Description: bacterial SSU rRNA
Rfam family: Bacterial small subunit ribosomal RNA
Source: RNAcentral